Molecule: ribosomal RNA, 492 nt
Filed under: uncultured bacterium
Lineage: Bacteria
Description: partial 16S ribosomal RNA
Rfam family: Bacterial small subunit ribosomal RNA
Source: RNAcentral
AGUGAACGCUGGCGGUAGGCCUAACACAUGCAAGUCGAACGGCAGCACAGUAAGAGCUUGCUCUUACGGGUGGCGAGUGGCGGACGGGUGAGGAAUACAUCGGAAUCUACUUUUUCGUGGGGGAUAACGUAGGGAAACUUACGCUAAUACCGCAUACGACCUACGGGUGAAAGCAGGGGAUCUUCGGACCUUGCGCGAUUGAAUGAGCCGAUGUCGGAUUAGCUAGUUGGCGGCGUACAGGCCAACCAAGGCGACGAUCCGUAGCUGGUCUGAGAGGGUGAGCAACCACACUGGAACUGAGACACGGUCCAGAGUCGUACGGGAGGCAGCAGUGGGGAAUAUUGGACAAUGGAGGCAAGCCUAAUCCAGCCAUACCGCGUGGGUGAUGAAGGCCUUCGGGUUGUAAAACCCUUUUUUUGGGAAAGAAAAGCAGCAGGUUAAUACCCCGCUGUUCUGACGGUACCCAAAGAAUAAGCACCGGCUAACUUCGUG